Long non-coding RNA from Arabidopsis lyrata subsp. lyrata, 815 nucleotides. RefSeq lists it as uncharacterized. The record is from RefSeq and is a predicted model, not a curated record. The transcript is spliced from 3 exons. Lineage: Eukaryota; Viridiplantae; Streptophyta; Magnoliopsida; Brassicales; Brassicaceae.
GUGUCGGCUCUAGUUCUUCUUCAGAUGCCUACUUUUGCAAAUUGGGAUUCUAGUUGUCGGAAAGAAAAAAUGGUGAAGACGAGAAGUGAGCGGCUCCGGGAAGCUUCUUUAACUUGGAAUUCGAGUUGCCUGACUCCAACAGUAGUCCAUCGAUCUGAGGGUCCAAAUAUCUCGACUACGUCGGAAAGGGUAAUUUAAACCCCCGUAAUAAGACCCGAUGGUGCAGUGGCGAGCAGGGAACGCAGGCGAAUAGUUCGUUGUCCCUUUGUAGAUUCGGAUCUACUGUUGAAACGGAAGUGCGUUUCCCCAAUCGCAGGUCUAUGUACAUCGUUGCGGUUCGAUCCAUGGCGGAGUCUCCAACAGCUGAAAAGAAUCAACCGUACUCCUCAGGCUUCUUACAAUUUUUCUUUUCCUGCAAUUUCGAGAUUGAUUUCAGUUGGGAGGAACUGCCUCGGUUUUGGAGAAUGCUGGAAUCUAUGUGACCAAAGUGGAGAAGCUUACUCAAUUUGUAGAAAUGGCAAGUUUUUUCCCUUAAGCUCGCUGCUCUUGCUUAAGGUUUGGUCUUGUGUUUUCGUUGAUUCUUUAAAGAUCUUUAAUCAAACAAAAGGCUAAUGUCAAAUUGAGUUGUGACUUUUUCAAUGAUCAUACCAUUAUCUUGUUGAGUUUAGUAUAUUAAACUUAGCUCUCCUUCUGUUUUUUCUUCUCAAGAAGCUUGAUGGAAUUCUCACUAGUCCAAGAGAUGUCAUAUAAAGAUGAGUGAUUGGUAAACUUGACGUUUUGGAUGUUUGAUAACACUAUAUAUUUUCCUUAAGAAA